CCUACGGGGUGCUGCAGUGGGGAAUAUCGGACAAUGGGCGAAAGCCUGAUCCAGCCAUGCCGCGUGUGUGAAGAAGGCCUUCGGGUUGUAAAGCACUUUCAGUGGGGAAGAAAGCCUUGGGGCUAAUACCCUCGAGGAAGGACAUCACCCACAGAAGAAGCACCGGCUAACUCCGUGCCAGCAGCCGCGGUAAUACGGAGGGUGCGAGCGUUAAUCGGAAUUACUGGGCGUAAAGCGCGCGUAGGCGGUCUGAUAAGCCGGUUGUGAAAGCCCCGGGCUCAACCUGGGAACGGCAUCCGGAACUGUCAGGCUAGAGUGCAGGAGAGGAAGGUAGAAUUCCCGGUGUAGCGGUGAAAUGCGUAGAGAUCGGGAGGAAUACCAGUGGCGAAGGCGGCCUUCUGGACUGACACUGACGCUGAGGUGCGAAAGCGUGGGUAGCAAACAGGAUUAGAUACCCGAGUAGUC
RNAcentral lists this ribosomal RNA (465 nucleotides) under Vreelandella stevensii. RNAcentral describes it as "partial 16S ribosomal RNA". It matches the Rfam family "Bacterial small subunit ribosomal RNA", at positions 338 to 795 of the family's 1533-position model. The record is from RNAcentral. Lineage: Bacteria; Pseudomonadati; Pseudomonadota; Gammaproteobacteria; Oceanospirillales; Halomonadaceae.